Molecule: small RNA, 52 nt
Filed under: Pleomorphomonas diazotrophica
Lineage: Bacteria; Pseudomonadati; Pseudomonadota; Alphaproteobacteria; Hyphomicrobiales; Pleomorphomonadaceae
Description: ffh sRNA
Rfam family: ffh sRNA
Source: Rfam by way of RNAcentral
GAUCCCGGAGGUCAACAUCCGCCAGCGCGUUGCGCCCGCGGAUGUGAUCGGU